AGCCUUUGUGUUGAGAUACAUGGAGCAAAGGGUGGUAUCCUGCACCCUGUGUCAUCCACCCAACAUCUGGGUGUACAGUGAAUCUGGAACCUCAAAUACAUUUGAAACAAGAGCCUAACUGAUGUGAGCAGCAAAUUGGAGCAGAUAGUUUCCAAAUGAAAUCUGAGCUGAUGCCAGCUGCCUGCAAACUGGACCUGAUUUAAAAAUAAAAUCUCCCUGCCUGCAAGUCA
Molecule: long non-coding RNA, 230 nt
Filed under: Phasianus colchicus (ring-necked pheasant)
Lineage: Eukaryota; Metazoa; Chordata; Aves; Galliformes; Phasianidae
Description: lncRNA (ENSPCLG00000018973.1)
Source: RNAcentral